UUAAAGCCUUUUGGAUGGCCACUACUGGG
This 29-nucleotide non-coding RNA is filed under the name Rattus norvegicus (Norway rat). Lineage: Eukaryota; Metazoa; Chordata; Mammalia; Rodentia; Muridae. The record is from RNAcentral.